RNAcentral lists this ribosomal RNA (497 nucleotides) under uncultured bacterium. RNAcentral's name for it is "partial 16S ribosomal RNA". It matches the Rfam family "Bacterial small subunit ribosomal RNA", at positions 28 to 507 of the family's 1533-position model. The record is from RNAcentral.
GAUGAACGCUGGCGGCGUGCCUAAUACAUGCAAGUCGAGCGAACGGACGAGAAGCUUGCUUUUCUGAUGUUAGCGGCGGACGGGUGAGUAACACGUGGAUAACCUACCUAUAAGACUGGGAUAACUUCGGGAAACCGGAGCUAAUACCGGAUAAUAUUUUGAACCGCAUGGUUCAAAAGUGAAAGACGGUCUUGCUGUCACUUAUAGAUGGAUCCGCGCUGCAUUAGCUAGUUGGUAAGGUAACGGCUUACCAAGGCAACGAUGCAUAGCCGACCUGAGAGGGCGAUCGGCCACACUGGAACUGAGACACGGCCCAGACUCCUACGGGAAGCAGCAGUAGGGAAUCUUCCGCAAUGGGCGAAAGCCUGACGGAGCAACGCCGCGUGAGUGAUGAAGGUCUUCGGAUCGUAAAACUCUGUUAUUAGGGAAGAACAUAUGUGUAAGUAACUGUGCACAUCUUGACGGUACCUAAUCAGAAAGCCACGGCUAACUACGUG